RNAcentral lists this unclassified non-coding RNA (253 nucleotides) under Hevea brasiliensis (rubber tree). The record is from RNAcentral. Lineage: Eukaryota; Viridiplantae; Streptophyta; Magnoliopsida; Malpighiales; Euphorbiaceae.
UUUUUUUGGAAAAAUUUUCACGCUUUGAUAGCCAACAUGUUGAACAGAAAAUUAUAAAAUGGGAAAGGCAAAGUAAACCCUAGAUUUGAGGAAAUUAGGGUUUAGGGUAGAAUGGAAGAAUGUAGAGAGAACAAGAAAGGGAAAAAACAGAUGCAGAUUAUGAAAAAGAGAAAUAGAGUGGAUAGAGAGGUAAGGAAUUGAGGAGGUAGACGGUGAAAACUAGGGUUUUCUAUGUGGGAGAUUAACAUUCACG